GGUCACGAAGACCGAAGACACGAAGUCACGAACAGAAUUCACAGGUCCUUGAGUCCUUCGCUGAUUUGCUGCAUCUCGCACAUCGUAGGAGGAUUACAAUCGAAGUCACAAAACUCACGAACUCACAAAGAUUCGCAGAAGGAUUAUUGGAUUAACUCACAGAUUCCGGCAUUCCGCAUUCGGCAAUCGGCUCCGGCUGUCCGCCUCCUCUCAUCGGCCAUCGCAGAUUUGCAGGAGGUUGUUUGAAUUUUGAUACUUUCAUUAGUUUUCUACUCUUGAGUGUUGAUUAAUGAUUAUGAUGACGAAACCAAAAUUCAAAAAACAAGCUUUAAUUGGGAACUUUUUCUAAACUGAGUGGGCUGAACGCUGAAGUCGCUGAACAACAAGGAUACCAAGUCGCUGAACACGGGCUGAAGGUGUCGCUGAUGAUCAUUGAUCGCUGCUGAUUGCUGAAACAGUUCAGAACAAUAAUCAUCGAACAGGCUGAAGUCGCUACUGUUGUGCUGAUUGUGAGUU
RNAcentral lists this long non-coding RNA (516 nucleotides) under Helianthus annuus (common sunflower). Its description in RNAcentral is "sRNA HanXRQr2_Chr11g0480671". Lineage: Eukaryota; Viridiplantae; Streptophyta; Magnoliopsida; Asterales; Asteraceae. The record is from RNAcentral.